GACAGGGUGAAAGUCCCUGUACCGUCAAUUACCUGUAUUCGGACGGUUAGCAUAUCCGGUGCGUGUGGAGGCAACAAAGCACGAUAGGCCCGGACGUAAAAUCCCCGGCUGCCCUGCAGCAGUAUCGCAGCGGUAGGAACGAUCUGGGGGGAGAGCAAACUUGGAGGCCGGAACAUUA
This is a non-coding RNA of Bradyrhizobium erythrophlei, 178 nucleotides long. NCBI's taxonomy places the organism in Bacteria, Pseudomonadati, Pseudomonadota, Alphaproteobacteria, Hyphomicrobiales, Nitrobacteraceae. The record is from Rfam.